RNAcentral lists this ribosomal RNA (252 nucleotides) under uncultured bacterium. RNAcentral describes it as "partial 16S ribosomal RNA". It matches the Rfam family "Bacterial small subunit ribosomal RNA", at positions 524 to 776 of the family's 1533-position model. The record is from RNAcentral.
UACGUAGGGUGCGAGCGUUGUCCGGAUUUAUUGGCGUAAAGAGCUCGUAGGCGGUUUGUCGCGUCGGCCGUGAAAUCUCCACGCUUAACGUGGAGCGUGCGGUCGAUACGGGCAGACUUGAGCUCGGUAGGGGAGACUGGAAUUCCUGGUGUAGCGGUGAAAUGCGCAGAUAUCAGGAGGAACACCGGUGGCGAAGGCGGGUCUCUGGGCCGAUACUGACGCUGAGGAGCGAAAGCGUGGGGAGCGAACAGG